This 253-nucleotide ribosomal RNA is filed under the name uncultured bacterium. Its description in RNAcentral is "partial 16S ribosomal RNA". It matches the Rfam family "Bacterial small subunit ribosomal RNA", at positions 524 to 776 of the family's 1533-position model. The record is from RNAcentral.
UACGGGGGGGGUAAGCGUUGUUCGGAAUUACUGGGCGUAAAGGGCUCGUAGGCGGCCAACUAAGUCAUACGUGAAAUCCCUCAGCUUAACUGGGGAACUGCGUGUGAUACUGGAUGGCUUGGAUUUGGGAGAGGGAUGCGGAAUUCCAGGUGUAGCGGUGAAAUGCGUAGAUAUCAGGAGGAACACCGGUGGCGAAGGCGGCUUUCUGGACAGUAACUGACGCUGAGGCGCGAAAGCUAGGGGAGCAAACAGG